RNAcentral lists this ribosomal RNA (255 nucleotides) under uncultured bacterium. RNAcentral's name for it is "partial 16S ribosomal RNA". It matches the Rfam family "Bacterial small subunit ribosomal RNA", at positions 524 to 776 of the family's 1533-position model. The record is from RNAcentral.
UACGAAGGGGGCUAGCGUUGCUCGGAUUGACUGGGGCGUAAGGGCGCGUAGGCGGUUCGUACAGUCAGACGUGGAAAUUCCUGGGCUCGAACCUGGGGGCUGCGUUUGAUACGUGCGGACUUGAGUGCGGAAGAGGGUCGUGGAAUUCCCAGUGUAGAGGUGAAAUUCGUAGAUAUUGGGAAGAACACCGGUGGCGAAGGCGGCGACCUGGUCCGAUACUGACGCUGAGGCGCGAAAGCGUGGGGAGCAAACAGG